This 30-nucleotide non-coding RNA is filed under the name Mus musculus (house mouse). Lineage: Eukaryota; Metazoa; Chordata; Mammalia; Rodentia; Muridae. The record is from RNAcentral.
UCCAAAUCUCACACCAGCCUUACCCUGCCA